UAUGAAUGUAUAUAUUUACAUAUAUAUUUAAUCAUAUAUAUGAUACAUUUGUUUAAUAUAUAUGAUAGCUCACGUGUUUAUGGGAGCUGAGAUGUCCCACAAUUUCCAUCUGAAAGCUGGAGUUCCCGGAAGGUUGAUGAUGUAGCUCUGGUGCCAGUCUGAAAGCCUGAGAAUGCAGACCAUGUAUGCUCCAGUCUGAGGACAGAGAAGGCUGAGGGCCUUGAUCAUGAAGCCAUGCAAAGAGGAAGAUUUCUCUUGCUUUUCUGUUUUACCCAGGCCCUCAACAGAUUGGAUAAUGCACACUCACACUGCCGAGGUGGAAUCUGCUUUACUCAACCUAUUGAUUCAAAUGUUAAUUUUUUUCUGUUAAUAUCCUCAUAGACCCAGAAAUAAUCUUCAGCUUAAUACCUGGGUACCUUUUAACUCAGUCAUGUUGACACAUAAAAUUAACAGUAGCAUAUAACCAUUCUCUUUUUCUUUCCUUUACUUAUACUGAGAGCUUUCCCUUCUCCCAUCUCCUAUAUAAUGUUUCUCCUUUAAUUGUUAUUUGGUUCUCCUCUGUCUUCCAAAUAAAUGUACCCUGUUGGUAAUAUGCCUUUUUCUUGAGUAAAACAAUUUAUCAGUUUUACUGGCAGCAAUUAAAUAUUCUCAGCUCUAAGUUUACCUCUUUUAAGUUUACCUCUUAAAAGUUUUUCCUCCCAUAUCUUCUCCUAAUUAUCACCUCAGUACUUCUUCAUUUCCUUGCCUUUCUUGAAAAAAAAAACCCUUAUAGCUAUUUCCAAUUUUUAUUUGCUCAAAUCUCAACUCAUUCUUUUCUUCCUUAUCCCAACAUGACUCUUACUAAGGUCACCAGUUACAUGGAAGAUCCCACCCCUUCCAUGUAAAUGCAAUGAACAUUUUCAGUGUCUC
RNAcentral lists this long non-coding RNA (909 nucleotides) under Marmota monax (woodchuck). Lineage: Eukaryota; Metazoa; Chordata; Mammalia; Rodentia; Sciuridae. The record is from RNAcentral.